UUUUUUUUUAUUUCAACUCUAUAAAGUAUACAACAGGCACUCGGCAAUUACAGCUGCAGGGAAAAUACAGAGCAAAUCAAAAGCGGGUAACUUUAUGAAAAAAAGUUUUCCAUCUACAUCGAAAGAGUGCAAAUGGUCAGGGACCAUUUUGAUGACGAGUGUCACAUGUUGACAGACACACAAAAAAACCUCUUUCAUGUAGAACAAAUCGAUAAGAGGACAGUCAAAGAAUCAUCGCUGUAAGAAUACAAAAGAACUGACCAGUGUAAAAACAGCAUAAACUGGGAUAAAUCUGAGGCAAUGCUUAAAUAAAGUUCCCUUGAAUCAAAAAGCCUAAAACAUUGGAGACAUUAUCAAAGUCUCAGAGCUAUGUCGGUUUAUGCAGGGACAGUUAUAGAAGGGGACUAAGAACACACUUUUCGACGUCCAGCUUUCUAGGUGUGUUUGAGACUUGUCUCAUAAACAAUUUGCAUAUACAAGAACUCAUAGAAAGCAAGAAUCCUGUUUUGUUAACUGGGGUGUACCCAGGGGCUCUGGUUUGUGUGAUUUUUAGGUUGUGACUCAGAUUGUGACUGAGUUUGGCGUGAAUUGCAGACACUGACCAAUGUUUUCUUUUGGGGGGACCAUGGACCAUUCAGAAUGGAGUCUAGAAAACAUGAUAUGUUUGAACUUUUACUGCACUAUUUUUUUUCAUUGAAUCUGCACAGCUGAGCAAAACAGGAAUACCUGUAUACAGACUGAUAGUAUGUCAUAUAUUAAUUUGACCUGCACGUACAUUUAGACAUUUCACAGAAAUGACGCUGUAUCUCAUGAACAGAUACACAGCUCUGGUACAUUUAACAGAAAUAAGAGAACCACUUCAUCAUUUCUGUAGUUCAGUAUUAUAUAAUAAAGGCUUAUAAAUCGUUAGCAGAAAGAACUGUAAAACGCAGCAAGCUAAGAAAGGACAACAUUUUGAGGUGUAUUUGUCUUUGUCAUGCAGCAUAACACCAACUUUGUUUUUUUGUUUUUUAAAUAGGAUGCCAUGAAUUUAAGGCACUUGCAACAAUACCAAAUAGCCAGGUCAUGAUCUAAACUAUGGGACGGAUGAGUAACAGGAUGAUGGACAGAAGUUUUCAAGAAUACUGACAAUUGUGACCAUUCGAGUCUACUCUGACCUAAAAUCGUUAAAACUGUUACAAAGAAGGAAAUCAAAAGGAGGAUGCCAUGAAACACCGGCAAAAAGAAAGUCAUCUAUGUACCACAAAAUAUCAGCACGAAAAUAUCUAUUUACAUAAAUAUUUCUUUGUGGUCCUAUUGUGAAAGAAAAAUUGUUUGUGAAUAAUGCAGUUCUGAAAUAAACCACAGAUCACCUCUACCUUGGGAAUUCAGUCCUAACAUCCUGGUUUUCAAUAUGGUAGCUGACUUGGAGUCUUCUAGUACGUUGUUGGUUUGCUCACAUAAAAGUGAGACUCCGAUUAGGAAAACAAAUCAAUGACAGUAAGUUUAUAAAUAUCAUCGUGUGUAGACCUGUGCAAAUCACAUCGUUUGUGAGGAGAGAAUAACACUUGAAAAUAGAUUUGCACUGGCAAUAAAGGAUCCCAACAGAUUGGUAUUAGAAGCUACAUAGGUCAGAUGUUAUGUCCUAGACUACAAGGACAAAGGGGACAUAAAGGUCAUUUUGAGAAAUUUCCCCAGGAAAAUGUUCUUUUAUGUGUUCAGUUCACCCCAAAUAAUGUAACAUCCAUUUUCUUAGCUGUUCAUCAAUAUCACCGUCAAUAAACUCCCACAGAAAGUUCUUUCUCCCCAAACCUUGAUGUAUUCACAAGAAAGUUAGCAAAGCAAACAAGGACAUUUCUUCUAGAUACUACUUAAUAUUAGGCAGAAAAUGGGGAAGGGGAAAGGAAGAGUUCAGAAAAUGGGUAAAAAGUACUUUGUGAAAACCAUGAGUUUAGCCCUCAAGUCUUUGUGUGCAUAUAGACAAUACCUGAAUCCUUCAGUUCAGUGAGGAAGGUUAUGGGGAUUGGAUAAAGAUUAUUUUUUUUGCUUGACACUAGGAGUUCCUUGUCGAUACACUCCGGUAUUACUCCAGGUAGCACAAAGCCCUACUACACAUGAAAUCUACAAGCAUUAGAAUCUGUGUAGUUAGUUUCAUGGUACCCGGUGCUACUUUGUAACUUUUUUUAAAUUAAUUUCCAGAAAUUGGCGAAAUGGACAAUCAUUGCAGAGACCUAUGAGGAGUGGGGGGAGGGGAUCUUGAUGUUUUCGAAAUGUCCUAAGAGUUACAGUUUGUUUUUUGUUUAUUUUGGGGGGGAGGAAGAUUUUUGUUCUCUUUGAAGAUCUAAAAG
RNAcentral lists this long non-coding RNA (2327 nucleotides) under Sarcophilus harrisii (Tasmanian devil). Its description in RNAcentral is "lncRNA (ENSSHAG00000020460.1)". Lineage: Eukaryota; Metazoa; Chordata; Mammalia; Dasyuromorphia; Dasyuridae. The record is from RNAcentral.